ACCCAGUCUCGUCAGAUCGCGGAAGUCAAGCAACAUUGGGUCAAGUUAGUACUUGGAUGGGUGCCCGCCUGGGAAUACUUGAUGUUGUAGACAA
RNAcentral lists this ribosomal RNA (94 nucleotides) under Acartia pacifica. The record is from RNAcentral. Lineage: Eukaryota; Metazoa; Arthropoda; Copepoda; Calanoida; Acartiidae.